UUUUCAUACAAAAACCAUAAUACUUCAGGGAGAUAGGUGAAACACGAGCUGUCUUAUAUAACGGUGCAUCAUCACUGGGAAUUCCACAUGAUUUUUCCACAGUGUACUGGUCAUGGUUUGCACCAAUAAAAAUCCCCUGACUACUGUAACCCCAACUUUUAUCAUCACUUAAAAAGAAGGUUGAUCCUCCAUCAGGUUGUGUAUCAGCUUGAUACUGAACUCCAUUAAUUAGCCCCCUCUCACCGCCACAGUUAAUAUACAAUUGAUCAUUCAAUGAUUUAUCAGUGGGGCAAUAGUAGUCACUUCUCUGCCAUGCCAUGCUCAGAUUUGCUGUUUCAGCACAGCAUGCAAAAGAGUUCACAUUUAGGGCUUUGCCUC
This 378-nucleotide unclassified non-coding RNA is filed under the name Hevea brasiliensis (rubber tree). The record is from RNAcentral. Lineage: Eukaryota; Viridiplantae; Streptophyta; Magnoliopsida; Malpighiales; Euphorbiaceae.